UGGGGGGUUAAGAGGCGGUUGCGCAAGGGGCUUAGAGGCCUCUUGUGAGGAAAGUCCGGGCUCCACAGGGGAGGAUGCCGGGUAACACCCGGAGGGAGUAAUCCCUGGACAGGGCCACAGAAAAGAGACCGCCAGCGGCAGGGCCUAAUCUUUAGGCCCUGUGCGGGCAAGGGUGAAAAGGUGGGGUAAGAGCCCACCGCAGGGGAGGUAACUCUUCCUGGCAUGGUAACCCCCAUCCGGAGCAAGGCCAAAGAGGGCCAUGGGGUGCCCCGCCCCUAAAUUGGCCCGGGUAGGCCGCUUGAGGCUUAAGGGUAACCUUAAGCCCAAGAGAAAUAACCGCCCUGGGAUACCUCAAAAUCCCAGAACAGAACCCGGCUUACUUAACCCCUCACCUC
RNAcentral lists this RNase P RNA (395 nucleotides) under Caldimicrobium thiodismutans. RNAcentral's name for it is "RNase P RNA component class A". It matches the Rfam family "Bacterial RNase P class A". From Rfam's summary of the family: Ribonuclease P (RNase P) is a ubiquitous endoribonuclease, found in archaea, bacteria and eukarya as well as chloroplasts and mitochondria. Its best characterised activity is the generation of mature 5'-ends of tRNAs by cleaving the 5'-leader elements of precursor-tRNAs. Cellular RNase Ps are ribonucleoproteins. The record is from RNAcentral. RNAcentral also lists the same sequence under 1 other name. Lineage: Bacteria; Pseudomonadati; Thermodesulfobacteriota; Thermodesulfobacteria; Thermodesulfobacteriales; Thermodesulfobacteriaceae.